CCUACGGGAGGCAGCAGGGAGGAAGAGUGGACAAGGGGCGCGAGCCGGAACCAGCCAAGUAGCGUGAAGGAUGAAGGCCCGACGGGUUGUAAACUGCUGUUAUAAAGGAAUAAAGUGAGGCACGUGUGCAUUUUUGUAUGUACUUUAUGAAUAAGGAGCGGCUAACUCCGUGCCAGCAGCCGCGGUAAUACGGAGGAUCCGAGCGUUAUCCGGCUUUAUGGGGUUUAAAGGGAGCGUAGAGGGGUUGUUAAGUCAGUUGGGAACGUUUGCGGCGCCACCGUGAAAUUGCAAUUGAUACUGGCAGCCUUGUGUACCGUUGAGGUAGGCGGAAUUCCUGGUGUCGCGG
Molecule: ribosomal RNA, 346 nt
Filed under: uncultured bacterium
Lineage: Bacteria
Description: partial 16S ribosomal RNA
Rfam family: Bacterial small subunit ribosomal RNA
Source: RNAcentral